AAUGAACGCUGGCGGCGUGCCUAAUACAUGCAAGUCGAGCGAACAGAUGAGGAGCUUGCUCCUCUGACGUUAGCGGCGGACGGGUGAGUAACACGUGGAUAACCUACCUAUAAGACUGGGAUAACUUCGGGAAACCGGAGCUAAUACCGGAUAACAUAUUGAACCGCAUGGUUCUAUAGUGAAAGAUGGUUUUGCUGUCACUUAUAGAUGGACCCGCGCCGCAUUAGCUAGUUGGUAAGGUAACGGCUUACCAAGGCAACGAUGCGUAGCCGACCUGAGAGGGUGGACGGCCACACUGGAACUGGAGCACGGUCCAAACUCCUACGGGAGGCAACAGGAGGGAAUCUUCCGCAAUGGGGGGAAACCUGACGGGGCAACGCCGGGGUAGGGAUGAAGGGCUUCGGAUCGGAAAACUCUGGUAAUAGGGAAAAACAAAUUGUUAAGUAACUAGUCACGUCUUGACGGUACCUUAUCAGAAAGCCACGGCUUACUACGUG
RNAcentral lists this ribosomal RNA (497 nucleotides) under uncultured bacterium. RNAcentral describes it as "partial 16S ribosomal RNA". It matches the Rfam family "Bacterial small subunit ribosomal RNA", at positions 29 to 507 of the family's 1533-position model. The record is from RNAcentral.